This 446-nucleotide long non-coding RNA is filed under the name Bos indicus x Bos taurus (hybrid cattle). RNAcentral describes it as "lncRNA (ENSBIXG00000007466.1)". The record is from RNAcentral. Lineage: Eukaryota; Metazoa; Chordata; Mammalia; Artiodactyla; Bovidae.
CAUUCAUUCAUUCACUCAUUCAUUCAUUCAGUGAGAUGAUUUGGCUUAGCACAUAGUUGGGAGAGAAGCUUCAAUGAGAUUAAUUACUAUUCUGUUGACAAUUUUUUCCCAGUCCGCACAGAGAUCUGGGAGUUGGAUUAAGCUCUGAGCAGCUCUGAGACACACAGAAUUCUCAGAAUGGACCCACCAAUCCAGUCUCAGAAACUCACCCAGGCUUUGUCACCCUCCCAUUCUGAAGCAGGCCUAGCAUUACAUUCUUUCUUGUUUGCUACAAGGGUGAUCAGUUUGUAAAUCCAUGUGUAGCUACUGUUUUCCAUGGCACACCAGCUGGAAGUAUCAAAGGGCCCCAAAAGGGUCUCUUGGAUGGUCUUUGGUAAAUUCACAGAGGGCACUGAUUCUCCUCCAGAAAUCCCUGUGAAAAGAAUAGAGUCUUCUUUGCCAUGAAA